CUAUUUCUCAUCUUUUUAAUGUUGGCAACAAUUCUAAACAAUUUUAACUAUGAUACAGGACAAUCAAAACAUCUCUGCAGGCCAAAUUAAGCCAGCUGGCCACCAGUUGGUGAAUCCGCACCAACACUCAUCACUCUGCAGGUUUGCUCACCACCUUACCUCAGCUGAGAAUGCACUUUCUGCUCAGAUCACUGCAUGUGAAUUUCCCAGCUAAACAUCCACUGUCUGCAUGAACUCUUUCUCCUGAGUUAAAGAUGGAAAUAAUGCCUGCUUCCCCAGUGUUUGUGGAGCACUUCCUCAGUACUUGUCUACCACUCAUAUCACAAAUCUUAAAUAUAAUUGUUUUUAAUCUGUGUCUGAUUCCCAGACCCUAAAAGCAUGAAUAAUUUCUUAUGAAUUUGAUAUGUAUUCUUUUAGUAUAAUGCCUUUCACAUAACAGAGUUUAAAUACACAAUGAAUGAAUAAAUUCUAGCAUUAGUAUCUUCAAAAUAAGUUACUGUAGAGUGGUAGAGUGGUGGAUGUCAAAUGGAAACAAUAAUUUCUAACAUUUUAAAAUAAUAAUUGCAUAAUGUAAAAGAUUCAUCUGAAUUCAUGGGGAUAGGAAUUAAGGCAAUGGGGAGUAUGUGAGCACACACAAAGUGGUAUUUAGGCUUAAACCAUUUUAAUAAUUGGUAGUUACAGUUCUAAAGAUAAUCCUUUAGAUUAACACAGUGAAAUAUGUUUAAUGCCCCAAAGGAUCAAAAAGAAAUAUUUUUCCAAAUUAAUAUUUGAAAUAAUAGAAUCACCUUAUAUGAUUUAAUACAAAUGAUAUAGCUUUAUCAAACUAGAUAAUUUGUAUUUGAAUAGCAGUCUAAAAUGGCUCAUUACCUUCUGUGAAUUAUUUGAUAUUGACCUUCACUUAGCCAAUGACAUUGAUUUAUUUCUUGAGCUCUGAGUUAUGGGAAAACCUUUACUGAACAGACAUCCUACCUCUAUCCUUUUCCAUUGUGCUAUAUUUCACACUUAACAGAAAGAACAAAGAAAUCAAGGUGCAAGGGUACUAAAAUCACCUGCAAAGAGGAUAUAGAGUGUGAUUUUUCAAGAGUACUUUAAUAGUUACAAAUUUAUGAAAUAAGACUAACAUCACCGUAAUAAAUUCAGCAACCUGUAUGUGGGGUUCAUUUAUAGAAGCAAAUAUCUCUAAGAUUCAUAGUAAUGAAACCUUGACAAGCUCUAAGUUUAUGCAGUAAGCUCUUUAAAAUAUCAAUUUCAGGCAAGUCCUCAAACCAGACAAUGACAAAAAUCUAAUAUUUGGAACAACAGUAUUUCCCUAUUUUACAUAGUGACAUACUUAACAAUAAAAAUAACUUUCUUGCAGGUAUUAUCUCAUUUGAUGAACACGACUCUGCUAAAGAUAAAAGGGAAAACCCCUAUAUGCAUUUAAGAAUGGGAAACCAAUUAUUAGUAAAAUAGUUGGCUUGCUGAAUAUUAGCUCUUAGCAAGCAGUGGAAUCAGAGCUAGGCCCUGGUCUCCUGAUCACAUUUCUAGGGUUCUUUAUACUACAAUUUUUAGCUUGUCACAGAUUUAGAGUACAAUUAUGGAGUACUGAUUAAUAUAAUAAUAUAUUUUUGUAUAUAUAUUUUUGUAGCAAGAGUGGGAGGUUAGCAAGAGUGCUACUUUGUAGCAAGAGUGGGAGGUUUUGUAGCAAUGUAUUAAUAUAUUUUUGUAACAAGAGUGGGAGGUUAUCUAGUCUUUUUUUUUUAAUUUAAAGUAAAAUUUGCUAAAAUUACCAAGGAGAAAUUAAAGUUAAUUUCUGUAUAAUAGAAUCUAGAUGGUGCAUUUGUUGGUACUUUCUUGACAUCUACUCUUUACUCUUCGCAAGUGGUUCCAGAUUUUUAUUUGAUGAAAGUGUGCUUCUGGAGACACUGACUCUUCUCAGCUCCAUUUUUAGAGCAAGAAUCAUGAGCUUGCCUUGGUAGAAGAUGUGACUCAUUAGAAGUUGUGAUACAUCCUGCCAAUAAAAUCUAGCAGAUUGCACAUUAGAAGCAGAUCUCCACAUGAAUGUAGCAGCUUUAUUCAAAAUUGUCAGAUACAGGAAGCAACCAAGGUGUCCUUCAAUAGGUGAGUGGAUAAAUAAAUUAUGGUAUAUCUGUACAAUGGAGGAUUAAUCAGUGAUAAAGAAAAAGGAGCUAGCAAGUCAGAGAAAUACAUGGAUGAAUCUUAAAUGAAUACUGCUGAGUGAAGCAAGCCAAGGUUAGCUUGAUGCCAAAUAUAUGAUGUUCUGGAAAAGGCAAAACUAUGGAAACAUUAAAGAUAUCAGUGGUUUCAGAAGAUCCAGUGACAAGGGAAGAGAAUUGAAUAGAUGUUGUGUGGAAAAUCUUUUUCAGGACAAUAAAACCAUUCUGUGUGAUAUUUUAAUAGUGGAGAUAUGACAUUACCCAUUUUCCAAAAUCCUUAUAACUUUCUUGCACAGAGUGAAUUUUUAUCCAAAUAUUUUUAAAAAAUGUUUAGAAGGUUGGGAAUCCUAUGAUGGAAUGUAGAACAUAGCAAGACAGUCUAACAGUAUUAAAAUAUAUGAAAGAACUUCACUAAAGGGCGUGGAGAUAAAAAGCAUUAAGUAAUUUUUUUUUAAUGAGUGGAAUCUCUAAGACUAAAGGUGAAAGAAACUGGAAAUAAACAUUGUAUUCUAGUACAUAAAAUUAAUCUCCAUGGGGGUAUGAAGUAACAAUUCUGAUACCACUAUACACUUAUAUUAGAAUGGAAAGAUUAAGGAAAUGGAUGGUAGAUGGUGUGAGCCAGGUUUCUCACUUUUUUUUUUCACAUACAUAUACACAUGCUAUUUUCUCACAUUACCAUACUCCAUCAUAAGUAACUAGACAUAGUUCCCAGCGCUACACAGCAGGAUCUCAUUGCUAAUAAAUACAAACUAUUGCCUUUGGAAUAGUUUAGGUUUCUCACUUUUAGAGUGUGGGACAACAGAGAAACAAAGGAAGGAGGGUAGAAUGAUUCAUCUGGUAAUGGAUUAUAGUUGGAGUCAUUGUAUUUAGCUUAAUGUGGAUAAAGAUGGUUACAUAAAGAAAGGUAUAUAGAUUUAUGUAUAUACACAAGUUUAUACACAUGAAUUCCUUUGAUCUGUCAGCUGAGAAGACCUAGAAACAAUGAACCUCCAAGAGCAAUGAACACACCUAGUUCUUGGAUCUUGGUUUCUAAUACUGUCCUCCAGCAAGAGAAACCAAGAUCAUUGGAGAAAUGGCUUAUGCUAGGAAUGGGGCAGAAAAUAUAGAGAUGAGCCUAUAGUAUCUUGUAGUGUUAGAAAAUAAGUAUUC
Molecule: long non-coding RNA, 3305 nt
Filed under: Sus scrofa (pig)
Lineage: Eukaryota; Metazoa; Chordata; Mammalia; Artiodactyla; Suidae
Description: lncRNA (ENSSSCG00055003911.1)
Source: RNAcentral